RNAcentral lists this transfer RNA (87 nucleotides) under Dehalococcoidia bacterium. RNAcentral's name for it is "tRNA-Ser". It matches the Rfam family "tRNA". From Rfam's summary of the family: Transfer RNA (tRNA) molecules are approximately 80 nucleotides in length. Their secondary structure includes four short double-helical elements and three loops (D, anti-codon, and T loops). The record is from RNAcentral. Lineage: Bacteria; Bacillati; Chloroflexota; Dehalococcoidia. RNAcentral also lists the same sequence under 2 other names.
GGACAGGUGGCAGAGCGGUUGAAUGCGCUAGUCUCGAAAACUAGUAUACACUUCGGUGUAUCGAGGGUUCGAAUCCCUCCCUGUCCG